UACGGAGGGUGCAAGCGUUAAUCGGAAUUACUGGGCGUAAAGCGUGCGCAGGCGGUUUGUUAAGUCCGCGGUGAAAUCCCCGAGCUCAACUUGGGAAUUGCAGUGGAUACUGGCAAGCUGGAGUAUGGUAGAGGAAGGUGGAAUUCCCGGUGUAGCAGUGAAAUGCGUAGAGAUCGGGAGGAACACCAGUGGCGAAGGCGGCCUUCUGGACCAAUACUGACGCUCAUGCACGAAAGCGUGGGGAGCAAACAGG
RNAcentral lists this ribosomal RNA (253 nucleotides) under uncultured bacterium. Its description in RNAcentral is "partial 16S ribosomal RNA". It matches the Rfam family "Bacterial small subunit ribosomal RNA", at positions 524 to 776 of the family's 1533-position model. The record is from RNAcentral.